Molecule: ribosomal RNA, 493 nt
Filed under: uncultured bacterium
Lineage: Bacteria
Description: partial 16S ribosomal RNA
Rfam family: Bacterial small subunit ribosomal RNA
Source: RNAcentral
ACGAACGCUGGCGGCGUGCUUAACACAUGCAAGUCGAACGGUGAAGCGCCUUCCUUUUUGGUGGGUGUGGAUGAGUGGCGAACGGGUGAGUAACACGUGAGUAACCUGCCCCCUUCUUCUGGAUAACCGCAUGAAAGUGUGGCUAAUACGGGAUAUUCUGGGUCUGUCGCAUGAUGGGUCUGGGAAAGAUAUUGUUUCGGUGGGGGAUGGGCUCGCGGCCUAUCAGCUUGUUGGUGGGGCGAUGGCCUACCAAGGCGGUGACGGGUAGCCGGCCUGAGAGGGUGGACGGUCACACUGGGACUGAGACACGGCCCAGACUCCUACGGGAGGCAGCAGUGGGGAAUAUUGCACAAUGGGCGCAAGCCUGAUGCAGCGACGCCGCGUGAGGGAUGGAGGCCUGCGGGUUGUGAACCUCUUUCGCCAGUGAAGCAGGCCUGCCUCGUUUGUGGGUGGGUUGACGGUAGCUGGAUAAGAAGCGCCGGCUAACUACGUG